GGAUGAACGCUAGCGGCAGGCUUAAUACAUGCAAGUCGAGGGGCAGCGGGGUAGCAAUACCGCCGGCGACCGGCAAACGGGUGCGGAACACGUACAGAACCUUCCUUUAAGCGGGGGAUAGCCCAUAGAAAUGUGGAUUAAUACCCCAUAGUAAUACUAGCUGGCAUCAGUUGGUAUUUAAAGAUUUUAUCACUUAAAGAUGGCUGUGCGGCUGAUUAGGUAGUUGGUGUGGGAACGGCCACCAAGCCAGCGAUCAGUAACUGGUGUGAGAGCACGACCAGUCACACGGGCACUGAGACACGGGCCCGACUCCGUACGGG
This 320-nucleotide ribosomal RNA is filed under the name uncultured bacterium. RNAcentral's name for it is "bacterial SSU rRNA". It matches the Rfam family "Bacterial small subunit ribosomal RNA", at positions 27 to 345 of the family's 1533-position model. The record is from RNAcentral.